AGCGAACGCUGGCGGCGUGCCUAACACAUGCAAGUCGAACGUGAAAUGGGGCAACCCAAAGUAAAGUGGCGUACGGGUGAGUAACGCGUAGGUAAUCUACCCCAGAAUCUGGAAUAACCUGCCGAAAGGCGGGCUAAUACUGGAUAGAGCGACGGAAUCCGCAAUUGGGUUUUUCGGGAAAGGGAGGCAGCAAUGCCCCUCGUUUUGGGAUGAGCCUGCGUCUCAUUAGCUAGUUGGUGGGGUAACGGCCCACCAAGGCAUUGAUGAGUAGCUGGUC
RNAcentral lists this ribosomal RNA (277 nucleotides) under uncultured bacterium. RNAcentral describes it as "partial 16S ribosomal RNA". It matches the Rfam family "Bacterial small subunit ribosomal RNA", at positions 29 to 292 of the family's 1533-position model. The record is from RNAcentral.